Molecule: signal recognition particle RNA, 89 nt
Filed under: Neobacillus cucumis
Lineage: Bacteria; Bacillati; Bacillota; Bacilli; Caryophanales; Bacillaceae
Also listed under: 1 other name
Description: signal recognition particle sRNA small type
Rfam family: Bacterial small signal recognition particle RNA
About the family: The signal recognition particle (SRP) is a universally conserved ribonucleoprotein involved in the co-translational targeting of proteins to membranes. Archaeal SRP consists of a 7S RNA and homologues of the eukaryotic SRP19 and SRP54 proteins.
Source: RNAcentral
UAUUAAUAGUCCAACAAAGACACUAAGAACGGGUCAGGGCGGGAACGCAGCAGCCAUAAUUCGUGAAAUUGUGUGGGCUAUUACAUAAA